CCUACGGGCGGCUGCAGUGGGGAAUAUUGGACAAUGGGGGGAACCCUGAUCCAGCCAUGCCGCGUGUGUGAAGAAGGCCCUCGGGUUGUAAAGCACUUUCAGUGAGGAAGAACGCCUGGUGGUUAAUACCCAUCAGGAAAGACAUCACUCACAGAAGAAGCACCGGCUAACUCCGUGCCAGCAGCCGCGGUAAUACGGAGGGUGCGAGCGUUAAUCGGAAUUACUGGGCGUAAAGCGCGCGUAGGUGGCUUGAUAAGCCGGUUGUGAAAGCCCCGGGCUCAACCUGGGAACGGCAUCCGGAACUGUCAAGCUAGAGUGCAGGAGAGGAAGGUAGAAUUCCCGGUGUAGCGGUGAAAUGCGUAGAGAUCGGGAGGAAUACCAGUGGCGAAGGCGGCCUUCUGGACUGACACUGACACUGAGGUACGAAAGCGUGGGGAGCAAACAGGAUUAGAUACCCUAGUAGUC
Molecule: ribosomal RNA, 465 nt
Filed under: Vreelandella stevensii
Lineage: Bacteria; Pseudomonadati; Pseudomonadota; Gammaproteobacteria; Oceanospirillales; Halomonadaceae
Description: partial 16S ribosomal RNA
Rfam family: Bacterial small subunit ribosomal RNA
Source: RNAcentral